This 253-nucleotide ribosomal RNA is filed under the name uncultured bacterium. RNAcentral describes it as "partial 16S ribosomal RNA". It matches the Rfam family "Bacterial small subunit ribosomal RNA", at positions 524 to 776 of the family's 1533-position model. The record is from RNAcentral.
UACAGAGGUGGCAAGCGUUGUUCGGAAUUACUGGGCGUAAAGGGCGAGUAGGCGGCCUUCUAAGUCAGACGUGAAAUCCCCCGGCUUAACCUGGGAACUGCGUCUGAUACUGGGAGGCUCGAGUAUGGGAGAGGGAUGUAGAAUUCCAGGUGUAGCGGUGAAAUGCGUAGAUAUCUGGAGGAAUACCGGUGGCGAAGGCGGCAUCCUGGACCGACAUUGACGCUGAACGGCGAAAGCUAGGGGAGCAAACGGG